Long non-coding RNA from Peromyscus californicus insignis, 4151 nucleotides. RefSeq lists it as uncharacterized. The transcript is spliced from 4 exons. The record is from RefSeq and is a predicted model, not a curated record. Lineage: Eukaryota; Metazoa; Chordata; Mammalia; Rodentia; Cricetidae.
UUAAGUUCCAAACCCAGGACAUACAACUGAGGAUCUUGUGAUUGAUCAAGGUGGUAAAGCCACUCCUCCUUCUCUAUUUUGGGCUGAUUUCUCUGCUCUCCAUACAGGUCCUGUGCAUAUACAUUAUGGCUUCUGGUUUAGCGUUUUUAUGAAUUUCUUGAAUAUACAAACAAUAUUUCAGCUUUCUGAUUCCAGAUUACUGCCCUUCAACCACUUCAUACCAGUUCACAAGCUCCACCCUCUGACAUCUACUUCCUCGAGCAAACCGCAUGUAUUUCACAAGGUGAUCACAGCUGCUGUAGUCACGACUUCAAUGGCCACGUCAUGUCCAGAAGACAGCAUGUCAUGGCGCUGCUCCCUAUCGUCUGGCUCCCACAGUCUUCCCAACACCUAUUCCAUCAUGUUCCCUGGGCCUUAGAAGGAGGACACAGAUGUCCUAUUAGGGCUGAGCACUCAACAGUUACUUGUUCUUUACACUUUGAUCAGUUAUGAGUCUCGGCUUUACUGUGGCCCAUUGCAAAAGAAGCUUCCCUGACCAAGGCUGAAAUAGUACUAGUCUAUGGGUAUAAAUGUAAAUAUUUAGAAGGCAGGUUCAUUACAUGUCCAUUUAAUAAAACAUCCAUUGUAGAUUCCUCCAGUCCCUGGCAUAUAUUCUAUCUCAUGGAUCUGGCUACAAAUUCAAUCAGAAAGAGAUUGGUAACCCCCAGAAUGUUUUGUCUAGUAGGUCUUUCUGUGUUAUAGAAUGCAGGGGCCACAGUUGCAUGACUUCUGAUGGCUUUUCUCCCUCAAUACCCUGCAUAGGACCUUCUGACACUAUGAACACUAGCCAUCAGGGAGGAAGUAUCUAGUUCAGUUGGUUUGAUUUCCUUAUGUCCUGUAGUGUGUGUAGUGUGUAGUGUGUAGUGUUUUCACCAGUGGGGUCUCACCAUCUAGUUCUAGUAGGCCACUAAAAGCAAUGGCGAUAACUUGUAUGGUUUUGUAAGCCUCUCAGGACUGACUGUCAAACGACUCAUAUGGAGUUUUGGUUUAAAAACUCAUGACUACUGGGAGCAGUAUUAUCUACCCAGGCAGAAUACCAUCAUUCAAGACCUUUAUUUUUUAAGAUUGCAUUUAUUUUAGCUAGCCUAUAAACUAGAUUUUAAUACGCAUAUAGAAACCUACUACUUUGUGGGGUAUAUGGGUUUUGCUAUGAGAUUUUACAUAGCACACUAAUUUUUAGUAAUAUAUAUGACACAUCGUAGCAGAACUACCUGUGUAUCACUGAAAUAAAUGGAGUGCACAGUUGUAACAAAAUGUAUGUGUUUGUGUCACUACAACAAACACCAAAUGCAACUACCUUUAUAAGGAAAAAUGUUUUAUUUGUCUGGUAGUUUUUGGAGGUUGAAAAUCAAGCCUUCAAUGUGUGAGCCUUUAGAAGAUACUUGACAUCUAAACUAUAUCAAUGUGCAUGUAUAACAGUUUUUAACCAGUGAGAUGGUUCAGCAUGUAAGAGUACUUGCCAUUAAGCCUGACAAUUGCAAUUCAGUCCUUGUGAUCCACAUGGUGAAAGAAGAUAACCAACUUCUAAACGUUGUCCUCUAACUUCCACACAGCUCUUUGUCACAGCUUUAGAGCUUUAGAAGUCCGAGGCUAAGGAACCAGCAGGGUUAGUGUCUGGUGGCAGUUUGCUCUCCACUUCCAACAUGGCACUUUGUUGCUAUGUUUUCAACAACAGAAGAGCUGGAACAUGAAGGGCUCGGUAGCGGUAGCCUCAUUUAGAAAAGCAGUAAACUUUCUACAAAGUCAUUGUGAUCCUGACAAAAUACCAGCUUUUUCUUUGCAGAAUUUUUAAGCUUUUUUUUCAAGAGACAUGGGACGCACAAAAUCAAAAAAAGCAUAAAAUAAGAGAAUCUUAAAGAAAAAAGCAACAUGAAAGAACUACUGUAUCAGGUCUCAGCUGUCAUAAGUAAUUAUUAUAAAAUUAUAGUUAUUCAAAGAGUACAUAAUUGACAUAGUAAAUGUCAGUAUAGAAAACACUAGUGAUAAAGGAAAGGGUAAAUGAAUGUAAACAUUAAAAUUGAGAACUGUAUUCACAAAGAGACGAUAUCAGAAGAGAACAAAACAAGACAGUGGAAUUAGUAAUAUGCAGAAAGACUUAUGCCAAGAAUAGGUAAGAAAAGCCCACAAUUAAUAAUAAAAGACUAACAAGCCAACUGAAAAUAGGUAAGAUUAUUCAGAAAGUGGAAUAUACAAUAUGUAGAAAAGAAAUCAAAAGAGUAAGUGCCAUUAGUAAUCACAAAAACUACAAGUAAAAUCAAGAUAAACUCACUAUAAAUCAAAGAGAAAACCCCUGAUCAGAAAGAUUAAGAGGGGCUGGGAGAUGACUCAGCAGGUGAAGUGUUUGCCAUGUAAUCACAAAGGCCUGAGUUUAUCUCCCCAGCAGCCACAUAAGAGCUGAAUGUGGUGCUUGCGCUUGAGUUUGGAGACAGAUGGGUCACUGGAACUUUCUGGGCAACCAGCUUAACCCAAUCAAAGAGCUCAAAUUGUGAUGAGAGACCCUGCCUCAAAAUACAAAGUCGAAGGCAACUGAAGAAGACAACACUGGGUGUCUGUCUACCUCUGUCCUACAUAUGCAUACAUAAUACACACAUACACAUACAUACAUACAUACAUACUCACAUACACAUACAUAUAUACAUACACACACAUACAUACAUACAUACAUACAUUACAUACAUAGAGGGGGAGAAUGAAUUAAACACCAAGGCUAAAGGGUUGACAAUAUAAAAUAUUGGUGAGGCAUUUUGAUGUUAUCUCCUAAAAACGAAGAUAUGCAUGUUAUAUUUGUGCCAUGACAUAGAACCUUCUCCAAAGCUAUUUCCCUUGCCCUGAGUCCAUGGCCUCACAGUUCAAGGUGGCCAUGGACAACACAAUGUCCAUUGGACAAACAAGGGUAAAUGGCAUGUCACUUUGGAGUAUUGAUCAUAAAAUUGUCGUUUGCAAUGAUUAAUGUUGAUUUAUCAGUUCGGCAGGAAUGUUUAAGAGGGAGCUUCUAGAUUGGGUUAAUUGAGGUGAGCGUUCCCACCCUGAAAGUAGGCUGUAAUCUGCCAUGGUCUGGGGCCCAAGACUGAACAAAAAUGAGAAAGUGAGCUGAGCAGCAGACUUCAUCUCUGCUUCCGAACGUAGAUGCCAUGUGAGAGCUGCCCUCCUGCCAGCAAGCCUUCCCACUGUGCCCUCAGACUGUGAGCCAAAAUCAACUUCUCUUUCCCUAAGUCAAUUUUGCCACGAGGACAAAAAUAAAAGUAAACAGCACACCCUCUGUUAUCCUCCAUUCUAACCUCCUCCUUUUAAUAAGAUUCUAAUGCCCAGAGUGACCUUAAAAAUGGGACUAGCCAUCCUUGUUUCUAAGAGCUGGGGUGCCUUUUAAGAGAUUUAAUGGAAGCUACAAGUGAACUUCUAUUGUAUUAAGUCACUACAAUUUUAGGAUUAAUCCAUGAAGGCAGCUAAUAUAUUGUUGUGUGCACAUGAGUAUGCACAUGACACACAAACACACACAUACACAGUCAUAUUCAUGUUUUUCUCAGACUGCUGAUUCACAUUGCAACACUUCAAAAGUAAAGCCCCUGUGCUACACAUCUCACUGCAUCCUCAGUGUGAGUUAAAUGCCCCUGUGUGAGUCCUGUACCCUUCACAGUCUCACUAGCUAAGAGGAAAUAGUCGUGAGUGUUAAGUGCCAAAUCCAGAUUCACUUCUACACAGGCUUCAAUAGAACCCUUGUUACUUUUGGCUGGAUGAUAUGAACAAGUUAUUAAAACCUGUGUGUGUUUCCCUUUCUAAACAUUAUAUAUUCAUUUUUUUGUUUUUGAGACAGGGUCUCAUGGAGCAUAGCCUGGCCUUGAACUCACUAUAUGGCUAAGGAUGACCUUGAACUCCUUAUUCCCCUGCCUCCACCUCUCAGAUCCUGGGGUUAUAAGCAGGCAUCAGAAAAUCCAAUAUCCCUUUCUCAACGUAUGUAUUAUUGCAAAGGCUGGUGAGACAACUCAACAGGUAAAGGGUCUUGCUACCAAAUCUGAGGACCUGUGUACAAUCUCCAGGAUCCACAUGAUGGAAGGAGAGAACAGACUAUCACCCACAAGUUGCCCUCUAACCAUCAUGUACACAUUAUCACAGGC